CCUACGGGCGGCAGCAGUGGGGAAUAUUGGACAAUGGGGGGAACCCUGAUCCAGCCAUGCCGCGUGUGUGAAGAAGGCCCUCGGGUUGUAAAGCACUUUCAGUGAGGAAGAACGCCUGGUGGUUAAUACCCAUCAGGAAAGACAUCACUCACAGAAGAAGCACCGGCUAACUCCGUGCCAGCAGCCGCGGUAAUACGGAGGGUGCGAGCGUUAAUCGGAAUUACUGGGCGUAAAGCGCGCGUAGGUGGCUUGAUAAGCCGGUUGUGAAAGCCCCGGGCUCAACCUGGGAACGGCAUCCGGAACUGUCAAGCUAGAGUGCAGGAGAGGAAGGUAGAAUUCCCGGUGUAGCGGUGAAAUGCGUAGAGAUCGGGAGGAAUACCAGUGGCGAAGGCGGCCUUCUGGACUGAGACUGACACUGAGGUGCGAAAGCGUGGGUAGCAAACAGGAUUAGAUACCCUUGUAGUC
This 465-nucleotide ribosomal RNA is filed under the name Vreelandella stevensii. RNAcentral's name for it is "partial 16S ribosomal RNA". It matches the Rfam family "Bacterial small subunit ribosomal RNA", at positions 338 to 795 of the family's 1533-position model. The record is from RNAcentral. Lineage: Bacteria; Pseudomonadati; Pseudomonadota; Gammaproteobacteria; Oceanospirillales; Halomonadaceae.